AUUCUGAAUUCGACGUGCGAGAAGUGUACACGAUAUCUAACAAAAGGUGCAGUGUUUACCUGGUAUUCUGGCAGAAGCAACCAAUGACGAAUAUUGAAGCCAUCUGUUGGCAUCAUGCAUCCCACUAUGCAGUUACCAAGAAAGGCCAGAAAAAUGACAUCAUUUCUAUACCACCGUCCGUCAAAAGAUGCGAAUCACAACCUUAUUCCGAUACAAACAAUGUACAAAAUGGCUUGUAAAGUAUACUCGGCAAAUGUGCAGCCAUCUGUGUCUUUUUUGUUUAAAAUUCAUCCCGUUAUUCAAAUACAAUGUACGAUUGUCUGUCAUUGUUGGAAGACAGACGCUGGUUAAUUAUAAUAGUUAACUAGAAUAAUUUAUUUACUUACAAGAAAUACACGAAUAUUUAAAUGGAAA
This is a long non-coding RNA of Plodia interpunctella (Indianmeal moth), 414 nucleotides long. RefSeq lists it as uncharacterized. The record is from RefSeq and is a predicted model, not a curated record. Lineage: Eukaryota; Metazoa; Arthropoda; Insecta; Lepidoptera; Pyralidae. The transcript is spliced from 2 exons.